AAUUGGGGAUGAGAUUGAGAGAGAGGAUGAAAGGGAAGAGUAACAAAAGUGAAAAUAAUUUCAAAUAGAUUUCAGUUUUCAGUUUUGGUUUUCAAUUUUGUUACUCUUUCAUCUCAUCAUCUCCUCUCAUCUUCCCUCUCAAU
This 143-nucleotide microRNA precursor is filed under the name Prunus dulcis (almond). RNAcentral's name for it is "sRNA ncRNA". The record is from RNAcentral. Lineage: Eukaryota; Viridiplantae; Streptophyta; Magnoliopsida; Rosales; Rosaceae.